AUACGAAGGGGGCUAGCGUUGUUCGGAAUCACGGGGCGUAAAGCGCGCGUAGGUGGAUCAAUUAGUUGAGGGUGAAAUCCCGGGGCUCAACCUCGGAACUGCCUUCAAUACUGUUGAUCUUGAGACCGAGAGAGGUGAGUGGAAUUCCUAGUGUAGAGGUGAAAUUCGUAGAUAUUAGGAAGAACACCAGUGGCGAAGGCGGCUCACUGGCUCGGUACUGACGCUGAGGUGCGAAAGCGUGGGGAGCAAACAGGAUUAGAAACCCUAGUAGUCCC
Molecule: ribosomal RNA, 275 nt
Filed under: uncultured bacterium
Lineage: Bacteria
Description: partial 16S ribosomal RNA
Rfam family: Bacterial small subunit ribosomal RNA
Source: RNAcentral